RNAcentral lists this ribosomal RNA (727 nucleotides) under uncultured Methanotrichaceae archaeon. RNAcentral describes it as "bacterial SSU rRNA". It matches the Rfam family "Archaeal small subunit ribosomal RNA", at positions 83 to 808 of the family's 1478-position model. The record is from RNAcentral. Lineage: Archaea; Methanobacteriati; Methanobacteriota; Methanomicrobia; Methanotrichales; Methanotrichaceae.
UUACGGCUCAGUAACACGUGGACAACCUACCCUCAGGUCGGGGAUAAACCCGGGAAACUGGGUAUAAUACCCGAUAGAUUCUCGGCUGCUGGAAUGCAUCGAGCUCUAAAGCUCCGGCGCCUGAGGAUGGGUCUGCGGCCUAUCAGGUAGUAGUGGGUGUAGCGUACCCUACUAGCCUACGACGGGGUACGGGUUGUGAGAGCAAGAGCCCGGAGAUGGAUUCUGAGACACGAAUCCAGGCCCUACGGGGUGCAGCAGGCGCGAAAACUUUACAAUGCCGGCAACGGCGAUAAGGGGACCUCGAGUGCCAGGUUACAAAUCUGGCUGUCGUGAUGCCUAAAAAGCAUUGCAUAGCAAGGGCCGGGCAAGACCGGUGCCAGCCGCCGCGGUAACACCGGCGGCUCGAGUGGUAACCGUUAUUAUUGGGUCUAAAGGGUCUGUAGCCGGCCGGAUAAGUCUCUUGGGAAAUCCAGCAGCUUAACUGUUGGGCUUUCAGGAGAUACUAUCUGGCUCGAGGCCGGGAGAGGUGAGAGGUACUUCAGGGGUAGGGGUGAAAUCUUGUAAUCCUUGAAGGACCACCAGUGGCGAAGGCGUCUCACCAGAACGGACCUGACGGCAAGGGACGAAAGCUAGGGGCACGAACCGGAUUAGAUACCCGGGUAGUCCUAGCCGUAAACGAUACUCGCUAGGUGUCGGCCACGGUGCGACCGUUGUCGGUGCCGUAGGG